Molecule: transfer RNA, 74 nt
Filed under: Ailuropoda melanoleuca (giant panda)
Lineage: Eukaryota; Metazoa; Chordata; Mammalia; Carnivora; Ursidae
Rfam family: tRNA
About the family: Transfer RNA (tRNA) molecules are approximately 80 nucleotides in length. Their secondary structure includes four short double-helical elements and three loops (D, anti-codon, and T loops). Further hydrogen bonds mediate the characteristic L-shaped molecular structure. tRNAs have two regions of fundamental functional importance: the anti-codon, which is responsible for specific mRNA codon recognition, and the 3' end, to which the tRNAs corresponding amino acid is attached (by aminoacyl-tRNA synthetases). tRNAs cope with the degeneracy of the genetic code in two manners: having more than one tRNA (with a specific anti-codon) for a particular amino acid; and 'wobble' base-pairing, i.e. permitting non-standard base-pairing at the 3rd anti-codon position.
Source: Rfam by way of RNAcentral
ACCUGGCUGGCUCAAUCAGUAGAGCAUGUGACUUUUGGUCUCAAGGUUGUGAGUUCGAGCCCCCACAUUGGGUG